RNAcentral lists this ribosomal RNA (497 nucleotides) under uncultured bacterium. RNAcentral describes it as "partial 16S ribosomal RNA". It matches the Rfam family "Bacterial small subunit ribosomal RNA", at positions 36 to 507 of the family's 1533-position model. The record is from RNAcentral.
UCUUCCCUCUGGCGGCGUGCCUAAUACAUGCAAGUCGAGCGAACGGACGAGAAGCUUGCUUCUCUGAUGUUAGCGGCGGACGGGUGAGUAACACGUGGAUAACCUACCUAUAAGACUGGGAUAACUUCUGGAAACCGGAGCUAAUACCGGAUAAUAUUUUGAACCGCAUGGUUCAAAAGUAAAAGACGGUCUUGCUGUCACUUAUAGAUUGAUCCGCGCUGCAUUAGCUAGUUGGUAAGGUAACGGCUUACCAAGGCAACGAUGCAUAGCCGACCUGAGAGGGUGAUCGGCCACACUGGAACUGAGACACGGUCCAGACUCCUACGGGAGGAAGCAGUAGGGAAUCUUCCGCAAUGGGCGAAAGCCUGACGGAGCAACGCCGCGUGAGUGAUGAAGGUCUUCGGAUCGUAAAACUCUGUUAUUAGGGAAGAACAUAUGUGUAAGUAACUGUGCACAUCUUGACGGUACCUAAUCAGAAAGCCACGGCUAACUACGUG